Molecule: ribosomal RNA, 489 nt
Filed under: uncultured bacterium
Lineage: Bacteria
Description: partial 16S ribosomal RNA
Rfam family: Bacterial small subunit ribosomal RNA
Source: RNAcentral
GAUGAACGCUAGCGGCAGGCCUAAUACAUGCCAGUCGAACGGGAUCCAGAUCAAAGCUUGCUUUGGUCUGGUGAGAGUGGCGCACGGGUGCGUAACGCGUGAGCAACCUACCCUUGUCAGGGGGAUAGCCCGGCGAAAGUCGGAUUAAUACCGCAUGACAUCAUUGAGAGGCAUCUUUCGAUGAUCAAAGAUUUAUCGGACAAGGAUGGGCUCGCGUGACAUUAGCUAGUUGGUAAGGUAACGGCUUACCAAGGCUGCGAUGUCUAGGGGCUCUGAGAGGAGAAUCCCCCACACUGGUACUGAGACACGGACCAGACUCCUACGGGAGGCAGCAGUAAGGAAUAUUGGUCAAUGGACGGAAGUCUGAACCAGCCAUGCCGCGUGCAGGAAGACGGCCCUAUGGGUUGUAAACUGCUUUUAUACGGGAACAAACGUCGGUACGUGUACCGGUCUGAGUGUACGUAAGAAUAAGGAUCGGCUAACUCCGUG